AUGAUGAAGGAACUAGGUCUUCGGGAGGAGGACCUAGACGAUGUGGUUUUCAACGAGGACGAGGCCCCGGAUGAGGCGGCGCGAUGGAUAGCGCUGGCUAGGGUUCACUCGCCAAAGACAUAUAACCAAUAUUGGUUUUUCAAAAACAUGAGAGCAGCGUGGGAUCUAGCCCAGGAGGUGCAGUUCAAACCUCUGGAAGAUAAUCUAUACACUGUGCAAUUCUCUUGCUUGGGUGAUUGGGAGAGAGUAAUGCGUGAUGGCCCGUGGCACUUCCGGGGUGAUGCUGUGAUACUCAAACCGUAUGAUGGGUUGGCUAAACCUUCUACGGUCAUGCUUGAUACGAUUGAGAUUUGGGUGCAAAUCCAUGAUGUGCCACUCUUGUAUGCCCAUCUUGUUCCAUCGUUAGCAGCUAAGGUUGGAGAAGUCCUUUAUGCCGAGCCUCACAAGAUUUCACGGGUAACUUCCACUGGAUAUGGGUUCGGGUCAGUGUAA
Molecule: ribosomal RNA, 492 nt
Filed under: Triticum aestivum (bread wheat)
Lineage: Eukaryota; Viridiplantae; Streptophyta; Magnoliopsida; Poales; Poaceae
Description: partial small subunit ribosomal RNA
Source: RNAcentral